This 254-nucleotide ribosomal RNA is filed under the name uncultured bacterium. RNAcentral's name for it is "partial 16S ribosomal RNA". It matches the Rfam family "Bacterial small subunit ribosomal RNA", at positions 333 to 606 of the family's 1533-position model. The record is from RNAcentral.
UAACCUACGGGGGGCAGCAGUGGGGGAUAUUGCACAAUGGGGGGAACCCUGAUGCAGCGACGCCGCGUGGGUGAAGAAGCGCCUCGGCGCGUAAAUCCCUGUCAGCAGGGAAGAAAAUGACGGUACCUGAAGAAGAAGACCCGGCUAACUACGAGCCAGCAGCCGCGGCAGUACGUAGGGGGCAAGCGUUAUCGGGAUUUACUGGGUGUAAAGGGGGUGUAGACGGCGAUGCAAGCCAGGAGUGAAAGCCAGGG